UUUCAUCCAAGAUCUCACCCCUCUAAAAAAAAAAAAACUUUCACGAAUACCGAAAACAAAGAAAAGCCAUCAAUUUCCAUAGUCACAAAUCCUUAUAAUCUCUCUUGCCAAUUAACCUAAUAAUUGCCAUGACAAAGAAAACAAAAUAUUAUCAUGGCGAAAAGCAACACCAUUACAAACUCUUGUCAUCUUUUCAUCCUUGUAAUUGAUCUGAUCAUUUUCCUUUCGUUACCUCUUUCAGAUGCUACACAAGAUAACAAUUUAAUGGAGACAAUGUUUCCCACAAUUGAGGUAACUUUAGCCAAUGAUAAUAGCAAACCAAUCUAUUACAUGUGUAGAGAUUUUGACACCUAUAACAGAUUGGCAAGGCUUGAACCAGGUACAAACUAUAAAUUUAACAUCACUCAAAUUGCUUUCCCUAUGAGAUGGUGUUAUUUAUACAUAAAUCCACGUACCCAUGGUUUUUUUUGGGCUUAUAAUGUAAGAUCAAGAUGUACAAAAUGCUUUUGGAGUGUCACAAAUUUCCCAUAUUUGUAUAAAGCAGAUCGUGUAAGGUGGGAACGUGAAAAGCUUUUCACCCCUGUUGGAUUCAAUAUUAAUGACUAUUUGUUAAAGAACAUUUGAAAAUGUUGGAUAUCUAGAUUCUAAGGUUUAUGAAAAAUUUCUUGAUUUGAACUAAGAUAUUUACGUACACAAUGUUAUGAUCAUUUUAUAAGUUUUCUUUAUGAAAAGAAGAUAGAGAUACAUUGGAAUGUUGGAUAUAUGGAUUCCAAGGUAUCAUAUUUGUUUUAUUUUUAAAUAGAUGUUUAUAAUAAUGUUCACGUAUUGUAAAAUAUUGUUAGAAUGAAACGAUAUUCAUGAACUAUUGAAAGCCUAUCUUCAUGCUUAUACAUGUUUUUGUUCAUUUGUUGUUCUUCUUCUUCUCUAAUUGCUCUCAGUUUUGCAAUAUAUAACUAAAUUAUAUAAGCAAAUUUACAGUUAAUGGAUUGCAUCUCUAAUCUUCAUUAAUACAUAAUCUAAAAAAAAAGCUUAUGUAAUUUACGACUAUUAUGACGCUAAAAACUUGAUUAUUGGAUGAAAGGAAACCUUAUGUGUGCUAAAUUUACUUUUGCUUUCUACAGGAUCAAUCAGUGGAUUAAUUUGAUGUUUCAGUGAUGAAAUUUGAUUAUAACAAAGUCUAAUUUGAGCAAUAAACUACCUCUGCCACCAGUCAUUUCUUCAAAAUUCAGCAAGCCUACUUUAGUAUAUCGCAUAAAUUACAAUCAGUUAGCCACCCUCUGCCCUCUGUCUUAAGUUUUUAAGCAACGUUAAAUCUCACAAAUAAAAUAUUUCAUUGCGGGCCUGUUUAAAAAAUAUUUAACUUUGAAUUUAAAUUUUAAAGAAAGAAGAGGGAUAUAUCUAGGCAAGUUUUGAUAACCUGCUUGUGAAACUUAUGACUGAAGGUUAUUUUUACAGAAUUUUUUUAAACGGGAACAAAAUUUAAAUAGCACUUUUAAAUGACAAAAAUUGUAGAAAUAUGACACUUUUUGGGGUGUUCCGUAACUAUUGACUCUUGUUUGCCCCAUGGCAGAACGUCAAGGUUAAAAUUAAAAGAUGUUGCCAAUAAUGCAAGCAAAAGGUAACAUUUGUUAAAUUUAAAGUUCUAUCUUUGGGACAACCGGAGACAAAAAUUUAAGACCAUCUACUUUUAGGAAUAUUUGUAUACUUAACUCCUAAAACGAUCUUAAUUGUGCAAAUCUCCCAAAAAUAUUUGGAGCGUAAUUGAAUGGAGGGAUCUUAGCCCAAGCCCAAGUAACUCCUAACGGACUGGAUUUGUUUCCAAGUAUAGCGGGCUGGAUUAACUGCAAAUAAAUAGACCCAAAUUCGAACUCCACUUACUCUCAAUUUCUC
RNAcentral lists this long non-coding RNA (1890 nucleotides) under Nicotiana tabacum (common tobacco). Its description in RNAcentral is "long non-coding RNA (NTAB_LNC006875)". The record is from RNAcentral. Lineage: Eukaryota; Viridiplantae; Streptophyta; Magnoliopsida; Solanales; Solanaceae.